This 292-nucleotide ribosomal RNA is filed under the name uncultured Verrucomicrobiota bacterium. Its description in RNAcentral is "uncultured Verrucomicrobia bacterium partial 16S ribosomal RNA". Lineage: Bacteria; Pseudomonadati; Verrucomicrobiota. The record is from RNAcentral.
GGACUACAGGGGUAUCUAAUCCUGUUUGCUCCCCUAGCUUUCGUGCCUCAGUGUCAGGAGUCGUCCAGGGACUCGCCUUCGCCACUGGUGUUCCUCUCGAUAUCUACGCAUUUCACUGCUACACCGAGAAUUCCAGUCCCCCCUCCGACCCUCCAGCUCAGCAGUAUCCAAUGCAGUUUCGGAGUUAAGCUCCGAGAUUUCACAUCAGACUUGCCAAGCCACCUACGCACCCUUUACGCCCAGUGAAUCCGAACAACGCUUGGGACCUCUGUAUUACCGCGGCUGCUGGCAC